GGGAAUGUAGCUCAGUUGAUGGUAGAGCACUUAUGUAACAUGCUUGAGGACCUGGGUUCAAUUCCCAGCACUGCCA
Molecule: transfer RNA, 76 nt
Filed under: Marmota marmota marmota (Alpine marmot)
Lineage: Eukaryota; Metazoa; Chordata; Mammalia; Rodentia; Sciuridae
Also listed under: 4 other names
Rfam family: tRNA
About the family: Transfer RNA (tRNA) molecules are approximately 80 nucleotides in length. Their secondary structure includes four short double-helical elements and three loops (D, anti-codon, and T loops).
Source: Rfam by way of RNAcentral